Molecule: ribosomal RNA, 253 nt
Filed under: uncultured bacterium
Lineage: Bacteria
Description: partial 16S ribosomal RNA
Rfam family: Bacterial small subunit ribosomal RNA
Source: RNAcentral
UACAUAGGUGGCAAGCGUUAUCCGGAAUUAUUGGGCGUAAAGCGUGCGUAGGCGGUUUAUUAAGUCUGGUGUGAAAUAUUACAGCUUAACUGUAAAGGGUCAUUGGAAACUGGUAAACUUGAGUACGGUAGGGGCAAGUGGAAUUCCAAGUGGAGCGGUGGAAUGCGUAGAUAUUUGGAGGAACACCAGUAGCGAAGGCGGCUUGCUGGGCCGGAACUGACGCUGAGGCACGAAAGCGUGGGGAGCAAACAGG